GAGGGUGACAUAAGAUCUGCUAACUCUUUAAUCUGGAACCAACACCCAGCUCCCUC
RNAcentral lists this transfer RNA (56 nucleotides) under Pseudoleptodeira latifasciata. RNAcentral describes it as "tRNA-Ser". Lineage: Eukaryota; Metazoa; Chordata; Lepidosauria; Squamata; Dipsadidae. The record is from RNAcentral.